RNAcentral lists this ribosomal RNA (497 nucleotides) under uncultured bacterium. Its description in RNAcentral is "partial 16S ribosomal RNA". It matches the Rfam family "Bacterial small subunit ribosomal RNA", at positions 28 to 507 of the family's 1533-position model. The record is from RNAcentral.
GAUGAACGCUGGCGGCGUGCCUAAUACAUGCAAGUCGAGCGAACAGACGAGGAGCUUGCUCCUCUGACGUUAGCGGCGGACGGGUGAGUAACACGUGGAUAACCUACCUAUAAGACUGGGAUAACUUCGGGAAACCGGAGCUAAUACCGGAUAAUAUAUUGAACCGCAUGGUUCAAUAGUUAAAGACGGCUUUGCUGUCACUUAUAGAUGGAUCCGCGCCGCAUUAGCUAGUUGGUAAGGUAACGGCUUACCAAGGGAACGAUGCGUAGCAGACCUGAGAGGGUGAUCGGCCACACUGGAACUGAGACACGGUCCAGACUCCUACGGGAGGCAGCAGUAGGGAAUCUUCCGCAAUGGGCGAAAGCUUGACGGAGCAACGCCGCGUGAGUGAUGAAGGUCUUCGGAUCGUAAAACUCUGUUAUUAGGGAAGAACAAAUGUGUAAGUAACUAUGCACGUCUUGACGGUACCUAAUCAGAAAGCCACGGCUAACUACGUG